GACGAACGCUGGCGGCGUGCUUAACACAUGCAAGUCGAGCGGAAAGGCCCUGCUUUUGUGGGUUGCUCGAUUGGCGAACGGGUGAGUAACACGUGAGUAACCUGCCCUUGACUUUGGGAUAACUUCAGGAAACUGGGGCUAAUACCGGAUAUGAGCUCCUGCUGCAUGGUGGGGGUUGGAAAGUGUCGGCGUUUGGGGCUGGACUCGCUGCUUAUCAGCUUGUUUGUGGGGUAGUUGCUUACCAAGGCUUUGACGGGUAGCCGGCCUGAGAGGGUGACCGGCCACAUUGGGACUGAGAUACGGCGCAGAAUCCUACGGGCGGCAGCAGUCGGGAAUCUUGCACAAUGGGGGGAAGCCUGAUGCAGAAACGCCGCGUGCGGGAUGAUGGCCUUCGGGUUGUAAACAGAUUUCGCCUGUGCCGAACCGUGAGUGACGGUAAUGGGUAAAGAAGCCACGGCUAACUACGUG
This 468-nucleotide ribosomal RNA is filed under the name uncultured bacterium. Its description in RNAcentral is "partial 16S ribosomal RNA". It matches the Rfam family "Bacterial small subunit ribosomal RNA", at positions 28 to 507 of the family's 1533-position model. The record is from RNAcentral.